Molecule: ribosomal RNA, 362 nt
Filed under: Simrothiellidae sp. 6 FSB-2019
Lineage: Eukaryota; Metazoa; Mollusca; Solenogastres; Cavibelonia; Simrothiellidae
Description: partial large subunit ribosomal RNA
Rfam family: Bacterial large subunit ribosomal RNA
Source: RNAcentral
GGAUUUUUUCUAAACGGCCGCAGAAUUUUAACUGUGCUAAGGUAGCAUAAUCAUUUGUCUUUUAAUUGAAGACCGGUAUGAAUGGUUUAACGAAAUUUUACUGUCUCUUUUGUACUAACUAUAAUUUAAUCUUAAAGUCAAAAAGCUUUAAUUUAAUAAAAAGACAAAAAGACCCUAUAGAGUUUUAUUUUUAUAAAUUUAAUAAUUCUGAUAAAAAUUUUGUUGGGGCAACUAGGAAAAAAUAAAUUUUUCCAUAAAACACACUAACAAUAAUCUAUCAUUUACUUAAUAACGCAAAACAAAUUACCUUAGGGAUAACAGCGUAAUUUUCUUUGAGAGUUCAAAUCGAAAAGAAAAAUUAC